RNAcentral lists this ribosomal RNA (253 nucleotides) under uncultured bacterium. RNAcentral's name for it is "partial 16S ribosomal RNA". It matches the Rfam family "Bacterial small subunit ribosomal RNA", at positions 524 to 776 of the family's 1533-position model. The record is from RNAcentral.
UACGUAGGGGGCAAGCGUUGUCCGGAAUCAUUGGGCGUAAAGAGCGUGUAGGCGGCCAGAUAAGUCCGCUGUGAAAACUCGAGGCUCAACUUCGAGCUGUCGGUGGAAACUAUUUGGCUAGAGUCCGGAAGAGGAGAGUGGAAUUCCAGGUGUAGCGGUGAAAUGCGUAGAUAUUGGGAAGAACACCGGUGGCGAAGGCGGCUCACUGGCUCGUAUCUGACGCUCAGGCGCGACAGCGUGGGGAUCAAACAGG